UGCACGCAUUUGGCAUUCCGGUACUGCCGAGUAAGCACACUGGUCAGUUUGAUUCUGUUAAAAAAGUAAAUUAAGAAAUAUAUAAGUAUAUAUUACAUUAAAAAGUUCUAUUUUAAUUUAAAAAAUGAUACGUGUUAGAAGGCAACGUCGGGCUGUUGUGCCUUAUGAAAAUUUUUUCAUUCAUGACGGUUAUAAGUAUCGUAUUAACAGUAGUCAGUCUAAUACUAGAUACUAUGUAUGCAUAAGAAAGACUAGUAAUCAAUGUCCAGCUGAAGGCCUUGUGUGUAAUAACGCAUUUUAAAGGACAAACGCGGUGGCACACAACCACCCUCAAAACGAACGUUUACAAGACGUUGACGUAUUCAAACAAGAAUUAAUGACAGCCAGUGGAAGACAAUUUCGUAAGGUUUCGAAAAUCUACGAUAAUUUAAGUAUUGUAUACCAGGAUAUCAUGGAACAGGUGAACAGGAGUCAAAUUUUUCGACAAAUGAGAAAUCAACAAAAGAAAAUGAAUCUUCCCAAAUUAGGAAAUUCAUUUAAUGACUUUAAAAUUUUAUUAGAUUUACCAGAAUGGAAUGAAUUGAAACUUCAUGAUGGCACCUCAAAUAUUAAUAUAUCAGUUUAUAACACCGGAGAAAAUUAUGCCUCAAUGACGUUUACGGAUAAUGAUAAUUUCAUUAAAUUUGCAGACAGUGAUACAUUAUAUUUAUUGACAGCUAAAAACUUUGAUAUUGAACCUUAUACUGUUAACGAAAUUAUGUUUGUGAUGGUUGUUAAAAGUAACCGGGUAAUUUUUUUCGGAGUGUCUAGCCAUCCGAUAAUUCGGACGAUUAAUUUUUUUUUAUUCUUCCGAUAUUCGGACGAUUAAUAUAUGUUUAUUCGUCCGAUAUUCGGGUGAAAAUAUAGUAUUUUAACAAUGAUGCUAGUCAUCCGAAAAAGAAUAUUUAUUUAGUAUAUAAGGUACAAUUCAAUUUAAGGUUACCAAUGAGUAUACAUUCCGAAAUAAGAUUUAAGCGACAAUUAUACGAUACGUAGCGACAGCGCGUUAAUUAAAAAUAAAUUAUUCAUAAAUAAGAAAUUGAAAAUUAAAUUUAUGUUAAUUCUGCUAUUUACAUUUACUACUUUUUUAGGAACAUUUAUUACUUAUCUUUUUUUAAUUCGUUUUGAAUUGGAGCUGGUACCUGUUACUAUCUGAUUUGUAAAAUUGCUCCUCUUGCAAAAUGCGUGAGCAAUAGGAAAGGAUGCAUUCGGAAAUACUCCAGCUAUAAAUAGUGGCAGGGCGCGAGAGUUUAAAAUUCAAAAAUGAAAUAAUAUUAAUUUAGUAU
This is a long non-coding RNA of Cotesia glomerata, 1325 nucleotides long. RefSeq lists it as uncharacterized. The record is from RefSeq and is a predicted model, not a curated record. The transcript is spliced from 3 exons. Lineage: Eukaryota; Metazoa; Arthropoda; Insecta; Hymenoptera; Braconidae.